CGUAGGCAGCGAGCGUUGUUCGGAGUUACUGGGCGUAAAGCGUGCGUAGGCGGUUUUGUAAGUUUAGUGUGAAAUCUCCCGGCUCAACUGGGAGGGUGCGCCGAAAACUGCAAGGCUGGAGUGUGGGAGAGGUAGGCGGAAUUCCUGGUGUAGCGGUGAAAUGCGUAGAUAUCAGGAGGAACACCUGUGGUGUAGACGGCUUACUGGACCAUGACUGACGCUGAGGCACGAAAGCGUGGGGAGCAAACAGGAUUAGAUACCCUGGUAGUCCACGCCCUAAACGAUGCAUACUUGGUGUGGGCAGUUCAUUCUGUCUGUGCCGGAGCUAACGCGUUAAGUAUGCCGCCUGGGGAGUACGGUCGCAAGGCUG
RNAcentral lists this ribosomal RNA (370 nucleotides) under uncultured organism. RNAcentral's name for it is "bacterial SSU rRNA". It matches the Rfam family "Bacterial small subunit ribosomal RNA", at positions 526 to 896 of the family's 1533-position model. The record is from RNAcentral.